GGAUGACUGGAGUACAAAGAUAGGCA
Molecule: non-coding RNA, 26 nt
Filed under: Cricetulus griseus (Chinese hamster)
Lineage: Eukaryota; Metazoa; Chordata; Mammalia; Rodentia; Cricetidae
Source: RNAcentral